GGGGCUGUAGCUCAGUGGUAAAGCGCUUGCCUCACAUGUAUGAGGCACCAGGUUCAAUCCUCAGCACCA
RNAcentral lists this transfer RNA (69 nucleotides) under Ictidomys tridecemlineatus (thirteen-lined ground squirrel). Its description in RNAcentral is "Spermophilus tridecemlineatus (thirteen-lined ground squirrel) tRNA". It matches the Rfam family "tRNA". From Rfam's summary of the family: Transfer RNA (tRNA) molecules are approximately 80 nucleotides in length. Their secondary structure includes four short double-helical elements and three loops (D, anti-codon, and T loops). The record is from Rfam by way of RNAcentral. Lineage: Eukaryota; Metazoa; Chordata; Mammalia; Rodentia; Sciuridae.